CCUACGGGUGGCUGCAGUAGGGAAUUUUGCGCAAUGGGCGAAAGCCUGACGCAGCAACGCCGCGUGAUCGAGACGCCCUUCGGGGUGUAAAGAUCUGUCAGUGGGGACGAAACUUGACGGUACCUGACGAAUAAGCCACGGCUAACUACGUGCCAGCAGCCGCGGUAAUACGUAGGUGGCAAGCGUUAUCCGGAUUUACUGGGUGUAAAGGGCGUGUAGGCGGGACUGCAAGUCAGAUGUGAAAACCACGGGCUCAACCUGUGGCCUGCAUUUGAAACUGUAGUUCUUGAGUACUGGAGAGGCAGACGGAAUUCCUAGUGUAGCGGUGAAAUGCGUAGAUAUUAGGAGGAACACCAGUGGCGAAGGCGGUCUGCUGGACAGCAACUGACGCUGAGGCGCGAAAGCGUGGGGAGCAAACAGGAUUAGAUACCCCUGUAGUC
Molecule: ribosomal RNA, 440 nt
Filed under: uncultured bacterium
Lineage: Bacteria
Description: partial 16S ribosomal RNA
Rfam family: Bacterial small subunit ribosomal RNA
Source: RNAcentral